UACGUAGGGGGCGAGCGUUGUCCGGAUUUACUGGGCGUAAAGAGCGCGUAGGCGGCUCGUUAAGUUGGCUGUAAAAGGCCCUGGCUUAACUGGGGUAAGUCGGCCAAAACUGGCGGGCUGGAGGACGGUAGAGGAAGGUGGAAUUCCUGGUGUAGUGGUGAAAUGCGUAGAGAUCAGGAGGAACACCGGUGGCGAAGGCGGCCUUCUGGGCCGUUCCUGACGCUGAGGCGCGAAAGCGUGGGGAG
Molecule: ribosomal RNA, 245 nt
Filed under: uncultured bacterium
Lineage: Bacteria
Description: partial 16S ribosomal RNA
Rfam family: Bacterial small subunit ribosomal RNA
Source: RNAcentral